UGCAUGCAGUCGAACGGUCCUCCCGGGCUUGCCCGGACAGGACAGUGGCGAACGGCUGAGUAACACGUAAGUGACCUGCCCCGAAGUGGAGGAUAAACCCGAGAAAUCGGGUCUAAUACUCCGUAAGUUCCAGCGGCUACGGCUGCUGGAGGAAAGGCAUUCGAUUCGUCGGGUGCCGCUUUGGGAGGGGCUUGCGGCCUAUCAGGUAGUUGGUGGGGUAAUGGCCUACCAAGCCUAAGACGGGUAGCCGAUGUGAGAGCAUGAACGGUCAGAGGGGGACUGAGACACGGCCCCCACUCCUACGGGAGGCAGCAGCAGGGAAUCUUGCGCAAUGGGCUAAAAGGCCUGACGCAGCGACACCGCGUGGGGGAUGAAGGCUUUAGGGUUGUAAACCCCUUUUCUCGGGGAAGAGUGAGGACGGUACCCGAGGAAUAAGCCUCGGCUAACUACGUGCCAGCAGCCGCGGUAACACGUAGGAGGCGAGCGUUGUCCGGAUUUACUGGGCGUAAAGGGCGAGUAGGCGGCCCGCCAAGUCUCGUGUGAAAUCUCCCGGCUCAACUGGGAGGGGUCAUGGGAAACUGGCGAGCUUGAGGUCAGCAGAGGAAAGUGGAAUUCCCGGAGUAGCGGUGAAAUGCGUAGAUACCGGGAGGAACAUCAGAGGCGAAGGCGACUUUCUGGGCUGCACCUGACGCUGAGGCGCGAAAGCGUGGGGAGCAAACCGGAUUAGAUACCCGGGUAGCCCAUGCCCUAAACGAUGGAUACUAGGUAUGGGGGGGUAUCGACCCCCUCCGUGCCGUAGCUAACGCGUUAAGUAUCCCGCCUGGGGAGUACGGCCGCAAGGCUAAA
Molecule: ribosomal RNA, 846 nt
Filed under: uncultured Chloroflexota bacterium
Lineage: Bacteria; Bacillati; Chloroflexota
Description: bacterial SSU rRNA
Rfam family: Bacterial small subunit ribosomal RNA
Source: RNAcentral